AACGCAUAUUGCACUCUCUGGCCCUCCAGAGAGUAUGCCUGUUUGAGUAUCAUUAACCCUCUCACCUCCCCAAAGGGUUUACUCUUGAGGGAUGGGUGGAGCUGAGCGUCCGGCGCUGAGUCUUUGACUCGGGUGGCGGUCGGUUGAAAUGGAGUGCGACUGUACUUGGCAGUGUCUGCACUUGCGUAUUAGUUCUCGUUAGAGAUUCCUUACGCAGCGUGUGCAGAUAGCCUGCAGCAGCAACUUGCAUACAAGAGCGCUCUGGCAGUCGACAGAGUGGCUCAACCUCUUGAUCUCAAAUCAGGCAAGACUACCCGCUGAAUUUAA
Molecule: unclassified non-coding RNA, 327 nt
Filed under: uncultured fungus
Lineage: Eukaryota; Fungi
Description: partial contains 5.8S ribosomal RNA, internal transcribed spacer 2, and large subunit ribosomal RNA
Source: RNAcentral